UGUAAUAUAGAAAAAUUUUCAGUUCAAUUACUUCACAAUUUUUGCAUUUGCAAAAAUCAUAUAAAAUAUUGAUGAAUUAAGAUUCAACUAACAUAUUUCUGCUUUAUUCUCAUUGUAUUUUUAAAACAAAAAUAGAUUUUGUUUAAAAAAUUCUUUCUAUAUGUAAAUAUUCUAAAAUGUAAUAUUCCACUUGGCACUAAGUAUUUUUGUUCACUCUUCUCAUCCAUGUCAUUGGUCUCCCUUGUUAUAGUCUUAAUUUAAUUUCAUCACAUAUUCUUUGUAGAUUAGAUCAGUUUGAAAACAAUGCCUUUAGUGUCUUCCAUCUUAGUAGGACAUUUCCUACUGAAGAACAAAAUUAUCUACAGUCUUUUUUCCCUCGCAUCAAGACCAAAAUAUGAAAGCAGUAUGUCUUUAAUUAGAAUAAAUAAUGAAGAGUCUUACUCUAACUACAGAAAAUAUAACACCUGUUUAGAUUCCUAAAUAGUUGAAGAUGGUUUAUUGGAAAUUAACCUCAUAUUAAAGGGAGUCUCCUGAAUGUAUCCUAAAAGGAUAUCUGUGGCCUGGACUUGAAUUGCUUCCUGAUUUCUGUGUGUCUCUGUCUGUUGCCUUUGCAUAACAGGUCACUUUAAUUAUCAAGUGACCCGGUGGCUACAAGGCACUCAUGAAUGUUGCAGUUUACUGCAAGGAUAGGUGACAGAGAUAGACAGCCCAAAAGAAUGGCUCAAUGUUGUGGUCAGGGUUCAGGGCAAUAGAAAUGCCAUAGAGCCAAGAAGAAGAAAGCAGGUUUUACUGAGAGUUCUACCUGUUGGGCAAACAGACAAGGAAGUAAUCAUGGUUAAUGGUGGUAACCUUUAUAAAUAUGUUAUAAAAUUAAUUAAAUUAUUUCAAUCAUUAUGUAACAUGUAUUAUGAAUCAUAAAUGCUGGGUGCAAAACAUGGUAUUAAAAUAAAAACUAUAAAUAUAUUUAUUUACACAAAA
Molecule: long non-coding RNA, 978 nt
Filed under: Homo sapiens (human)
Lineage: Eukaryota; Metazoa; Chordata; Mammalia; Primates; Hominidae
Description: HSALNT0075020
Source: RNAcentral